CUCGUUCUUCCCUUCACCAAAAUUUCAAUGUUCAUAAAUCAUAAAUUUUAAUUGGCAAUAUUGAUUAUUUAAUGUUAAAUACUAAUCAAAAUCAUUCAAUAAACAAGAAUUGUACAUUAAUCAACAUCAGAAAAUUUUCUUAAACGACUAAAAGGAAUGGUUUAUGAACUGAGAGAGCAAGAAACUUCAGGUAAUGUAAUAAUGAAGUGCACUCCUCCCAUGUUAUAUGAUUCUUUAGCAUUACAUUACUAAUUAACCUGUUCUUGGAUGAAUCAAUGUUGUCACUUGUCAGCCAAUAUUCAAAAAUAAGAGUUUUCAAAUCCUGUCACCGCAAGAAUUGCUUCUUCAGAUCUGAAAAUAUUUUAAGGUAUAUGAAACUCAUCCUUAUUAAAUCCAACAGUCAACAUGAGGCAAAUCCAACAGUCAACAUGAAUGUUUUUUUUUUUUAUCAAGAAUAGUCACUGAUCCACUAGGCUAAAAUUAAAUUGACAAGGUGUGGUAGAAAACAGAACAAGAGAAACAAGCAAAAUCUAAUUGAUAACAUAGGAAGGUCACUAAGGUAGUGUUUGUUUCAUUAAGCAUUAAGCAUUAAGUGCUUCUUAAGUGGUGGAUCAGGUUAAAAUUCAGAAAUAAGUGUUUUUUAAGUUAUUUGUUUAGAACAAGCAUUAAGAACUAAUUGGGAUAUUUCAGCGAUUUUGGUCCAGCGAAAAUCUCACGCUUAAUUUAACUUCUUAAUGCUUGUUGUAUUAUUUAGACAAUUCUACCCUUAUAAAAAUUGUUUUUAUCAUCCAUAACCAUUAAGUAAUAUCACAGUCAGAUUCAUUGGCUUAGUUAAUGGUCUUUCCUUUGCUGAUCACUUUAAAAUUUUUACCAUAAGUUCCUGAAGAUUUCUGUUAUAUCAUAUCUAAAAUUUAGAAUUUUUAGUCGAUCGGUCUGAAAGUUACAGAUUUUUUGUGGUUGUUAUGUUUUACAAGAAAAAUUACGUUACAGUCAGAUUCGUUUGCUUAAUAAGGGGAUUUUCUUUUGUCUGAUCACUUUAAAAGUUUUACUAUAUGUUCCUGACGAUUUCUAUUGUAUCAUAUCCAAAAUUUGGAAUUUUUAAACGAGUCGUUUGAAAGUUACAGAUUUUUUUGUGAUUGUCAUGUUUUAGAAGAAAAAUUACAGUCAGAUUCGUUUGCUUAGUAAGGGAUCUUUCCUUUGUCUGUUCACUUUGAAAUAUUUUUCAUAUGUUCAUGACGAUUUCUGUUGUACCAUAUCCAAAAUUUAGAAUUUUUAGACGAGUCGUUUAAAAGGUUAAGAAUUUUUUUUAAAUAUCAUGUUUUAGAAGAAAAAUUGGCGUGUAUAGUUUUGUUGUUAGAACAUUUUUCUGUUUGUACGACGUAACAAUAUAGUGUAGUUACACAAAUAUUUUGGCUAAGGGUGAAACAUUCUCAUCUGAAGCACAACACUGAAUGGUCAACUUGCGCAACCAGAGUGCAAAUCAACUUUAGGUUUUUGGGUUAUGUGAUAAGGUACUGUGUAUUGUCAAAAUACUUUUCCAAUAAUAGGGUAACAUGGUCAAAAUCACACUUAUGCAUAAACAAACAAAUUAAAAACAGAACUUCUUAAAAAUGAUAACCAAACAACUUUUCCAGCAUUCAGUGUUCAGCAUCCAGCAUUAAGUAUCCAGCAUUAAGUAUCCAGCAUUCAGCAUUUUAAACAAACACACCCUAAGCCUUUAGAGUGUAAUAAUCCACAUUGUUAUUGACUUGAAUUUGAUAUUUUCUUGUUUACUUGUUGCUUGAUAUCU
This 1789-nucleotide long non-coding RNA is filed under the name Aquilegia coerulea. RNAcentral describes it as "long non-coding RNA (ACOE_LNC000867)". The record is from RNAcentral. Lineage: Eukaryota; Viridiplantae; Streptophyta; Magnoliopsida; Ranunculales; Ranunculaceae.